ACAGCUCGCCACCAGCCACUGCCGCACUCAGCGGGCAACCCGCUGCCACCCGCCACCACCAAAUCGCCGCCGCACGCCCACCACCACACUCGGCGAGCGAUCCAGGGGGGAUCACCGCCACCCGCCACCGCCAAAUCACCGCCGCACGCCCUCGGGCCGCCGCACUCGGCGGGCGACCCGCCACCGCCAAAUUGCCGCCUCCGCCGGUGAUCUGCUGCCUGGGGGGCGCCGCCGCACCCUCACAGGAGUAUUCAUUCAUCAUUCCAUUCUCAAGCAUUAUUAGAAAAAUGAGAGGCAUUUUCUAGGUCCCUGUGGGGGAAAAUCAUCUGAGCAACUUAAUUUCCUGUGAUGAACCAAUUGUUGGAGUCAUAAAAAUCCUGAAGAUGUUGGCAUAUUGUGGGGAAGAGUAACUUCCUGUGGCAAGGUAUGACCUGUGAGCAAUCCAUCACAACAUGCUCACCAAUUAUGUGGUCUGAAGCAGAUCAUAGGUCAAGAUAAGGCUGAACAUGUUUUAAGAUUUAC
Molecule: long non-coding RNA, 522 nt
Organism: Hemicordylus capensis (graceful crag lizard)
Lineage: Eukaryota; Metazoa; Chordata; Lepidosauria; Squamata; Cordylidae
Exons: 3
Source: RefSeq, a predicted model, not a curated record